Myotis davidii is the source of this 108-nucleotide long non-coding RNA. RefSeq lists it as uncharacterized. The transcript is spliced from 3 exons. NCBI's taxonomy places the organism in Eukaryota, Metazoa, Chordata, Mammalia, Chiroptera, Vespertilionidae. The record is from RefSeq and is a predicted model, not a curated record.
UCGGCCUGCAGACCAAAGGGUCCCGGGUUCGAUUCGGGUCAAGGGCAUCUACUUCAGUUGCAGGCUCGGCCCCGGCCCGGGGCCCUGGCCGGGGGCAUGCAGGAGGCA